Molecule: ribosomal RNA, 378 nt
Filed under: uncultured eukaryote
Lineage: Eukaryota
Description: partial 18S ribosomal RNA
Rfam family: Eukaryotic small subunit ribosomal RNA
Source: RNAcentral
CAAUAGCGUAUAUUUAAGUUGUUGCAGUUAAAAAGCUCGUAGUUGGAUUUCGGAUGGGACUUGCCGGUCCGUCGUUUCGAUGUGCACUGGCCAGUCCUAUCUUGUUGUCGGGGACUAGCUCCUGGGCUUCACUGUCCGGGACUAGGAGCUGACGAGGUUACUUUGAGUAAAUUAGAGUGUUCAAAGCAAGCCUACGCUCUGAAUACAUUAGCAUGGAAUAACACGAUAGGACUCUGGCUUAUCUUGUUGGUCUGUGAGACCAGAGUAAUGAUUAAGAGGGACAGUCGGGGGCAUUCGUAUUCCGUUGUCAGAGGUGAAAUUCUUGGAUUUACGGAAGACGAACAUCUGCGAAAGCAUUUGCCAAGGAUGUUUUCAUUG